UGAACGACUCUCGGCAACGGAUAUCUCGGCUAUCGCAUCGAUGAAGAACGUAGCGAAAUGCGAUACUUGGUGUGAAUUGCAGAAUCCCGUGAACCAUCGAGUCUUUGAACGCAAGUUGCGCCCGAAGCCUCUAGGCUGAGGGCACGUCUGCCUGGGCGUCACGCA
This 165-nucleotide ribosomal RNA is filed under the name Nepenthes alata. Its description in RNAcentral is "5.8S ribosomal RNA". It matches the Rfam family "5.8S ribosomal RNA". From Rfam's summary of the family: 5.8S ribosomal RNA (5.8S rRNA) is a component of the large subunit of the eukaryotic ribosome. It is transcribed by RNA polymerase I as part of the 45S precursor that also contains 18S and 28S rRNA. Lineage: Eukaryota; Viridiplantae; Streptophyta; Magnoliopsida; Caryophyllales; Nepenthaceae. The record is from RNAcentral. RNAcentral also lists the same sequence under 1 other name.